This 440-nucleotide ribosomal RNA is filed under the name uncultured bacterium. RNAcentral describes it as "partial 16S ribosomal RNA". It matches the Rfam family "Bacterial small subunit ribosomal RNA", at positions 338 to 795 of the family's 1533-position model. The record is from RNAcentral.
CCUACGGGUGGCAGCAGUGGGGAAUAUUGGACAAUGGGGGAAACCCUGAUCCAGCGACGCCGCGUGAGUGAAGAAGUAUUUCGGUACGUAAAGCUCUAUCAGCAGGAAAGAAAAUGACGGUACCUGACUAAGAAGCCCCGGCUAACUACGUGCCAGCAGCCGCGGUAAUACGAAGGGGGACAGCGUUAUCCGGAUUUAAUGGGUGUAAAGGGAGCGGAGACGGGAGCGCAAGUCAGGCGGGAACUGCCGGGGCGCAACCCCGGAACUGCUGUGGAAACUGUGAAGCUUGAGUGCAGGAGAGGUAAGCGGAAUUCCUGGUGUAGCGGUGAAAUGCGUAGAUAUCAGGAGGAACACCGGCGGCGAAGGCGGCUUACUGGACUGUAACUGACGUUGAGGCUCGAAGGCGUGGGGAGCAAACAGGAUUAGAUACCCCAGUAGUC